GAUGAACGCUAGCUACAGGCUUAACACAUGCAAGUCGAGGGGCAGCGCAGUGUUGCAAUACACGGGCGGCGACCGGCGCACGGGGUGCGUAACGCGUAUCCAACCUUCCCGUUACUCUCGGAUAGCCUUCCGAAAGGGAGAUUAAUACGAGAUGGUGUUGAAAUUCCGCAUGUUAUUUCAACUAAAGAUUCAUCGGUAACGGAUGGGGAUGCGUGACAUUAGGUAGAUGGGCGGGGUAACGGCCCACCAUGCCUACGAUGUCUAGGGGUUCUGAGAGGAAGGUCCCCCACACUGGAACUGAGACACGGUCCAG
RNAcentral lists this ribosomal RNA (313 nucleotides) under uncultured bacterium. RNAcentral's name for it is "bacterial SSU rRNA". It matches the Rfam family "Bacterial small subunit ribosomal RNA", at positions 28 to 334 of the family's 1533-position model. The record is from RNAcentral.